CAUGCUGGAGAAGCAGGGCACAUGCUAAAUCUAUCAGCUUGAAAGUCUGAUAGUUUUGCAUGUGCUCUAUCUCUCCAGCUUGGA
RNAcentral lists this unclassified non-coding RNA (84 nucleotides) under Populus trichocarpa (black cottonwood). Its description in RNAcentral is "precursor microRNA ptr-MIR164f". The record is from RNAcentral. Lineage: Eukaryota; Viridiplantae; Streptophyta; Magnoliopsida; Malpighiales; Salicaceae.